GUGGCAUUUUGCAAAACUGAAAAAUCUUGAGGGUUGUCUGUAUUUUCGAUCUGCUUCAAUUUCAUGAAUAGGCGGAGAAGAAAGAAAUUAUAAGAAGCAGAGUUGAAGAAUCGGUAGAGAUGGCGAGUGAAAACCCUGAUGUUGUUGCUCCGGCGGAGGAGAAUACUGGGGCCGAGCCCUCCAAUGGAAAAGAGCAACAAUUGGCUUCGGAGCUGUCGAAGAAUCUAGGGCUUGCGGAUGGGAAUGAAGAUGAAAAGGAGGAAGAAGACGAAGAGGAGGGAAGCAAAG
Long non-coding RNA from Tarenaya hassleriana, 288 nucleotides. RefSeq lists it as uncharacterized. The record is from RefSeq and is a predicted model, not a curated record. NCBI's taxonomy places the organism in Eukaryota, Viridiplantae, Streptophyta, Magnoliopsida, Brassicales, Cleomaceae. The transcript is spliced from 2 exons.